Molecule: ribosomal RNA, 248 nt
Filed under: uncultured bacterium
Lineage: Bacteria
Description: partial 16S ribosomal RNA
Rfam family: Bacterial small subunit ribosomal RNA
Source: RNAcentral
UUGCUGGCGACCGGCGCACGGGUGAGUAACACGUAUCCAACCUGCCCUUUACUCGGGGAUAGCCUUUCGAAAGAAAGAUUAAUACCCGAUAGCAUAAUGAUUCCGCAUGGUUUCAUUAUUAAAGGAUUCCGGUAAAGGAUGGGGAUGCGUUCCAUUAGGUUGUUGGUGGGGUAACGGCCCACCAAGCCUUCGAUGGAUAGGGGUUCUGAGAGGAAGGUCCCCCACAUUGGAACUGAGACACGGUCCAA